Molecule: ribosomal RNA, 440 nt
Filed under: uncultured bacterium
Lineage: Bacteria
Description: partial 16S ribosomal RNA
Rfam family: Bacterial small subunit ribosomal RNA
Source: RNAcentral
CCUACGGGUGGCAGCAGUGGGGAAUAUUGCACAAUGGGGGAAACCCUGAUGCAGCGACGCCGCGUGAGCGAUGAAGUAUUUAGGUAUGUAAAGCUCUAUUAGCAGGGAAGAUAAUGACGGUAUCUGACUAAGAAGCCCCGGCUAACUCCGUGCCAGCAGCCGCGGUAAUACGGAGGGGGCAAGCGUUAUUCGGAUUUACUGGGUGUAAAGGGUGCGCAGGCGGGCCUGCAAGUCAGAUGUGAAAGCCCGGAGCUCAACCCCGGAACUGCAUUUGAAACUGUAAGGCUAGAGUGUCGGAGAGGCAGGCGGAAUUCUUGGUGUAGCGGUAAAAUGCGUAGAUAUUAAGAGGAACACUAGUGGCGAAGGCGGCCUGCUGGACGAUGACUGACGUUGAGGCUCGAAAGCGUGGGGAGCAAACAGGAUUAGAUACCCCUGUAGUC